UGGGGAAUUUUGGACAAUGGGCGCAAGCCUGAUCCAGCAAUGCCGCGUGCAGGAUGAAGGCCUUCGGAUUGUAAACUGCUUUUGUACGGAGCGAAAAGGUCUGCCCUAAUACGGUGGGCUCAUGACGGUACCGUAAGAAUAAGCACCGGCUAACUACGUGCCAGCAGCCGCGGUAAUACGUAGGGUGCGAGCGUUAAUCGGAAUUACUGGGCGUAAAGCGUGCGCAGGCGGUUAUGUAAGACAGAUGUGAAAUCCCCGGGCUCAACCUGGGAACUGCGUUUGUGACUGCAUAACUAGAGUACGGCAGAGGGAGGUGGAAUUCCGCGUGUAGCAGUGAAAUGCGUAGAGAUGCGGAGGGACACCGAUGGCGAAGGCAAUCCCCUGGGCCUGCACUGACGCUCAUGCACGAAAGCGUGGGGAGCAAACA
RNAcentral lists this ribosomal RNA (427 nucleotides) under uncultured bacterium. RNAcentral's name for it is "bacterial SSU rRNA". It matches the Rfam family "Bacterial small subunit ribosomal RNA", at positions 355 to 774 of the family's 1533-position model. The record is from RNAcentral.